UGCCAGCAGCCGCGAUAAAACCAGCACCUCAAGUGGUCAGGAUGAUUAUUGGGCCUAAAGCAUCCGUAGCCUGUUCUAUAAGUUUCCGGUUAAAUCCAUGCGCUUAACGUAUGGGCCGCCGAAAAUACUGUAGAACUAGGGAGUGGGAGAGGUAGACGGUACUCGAUAGGAAGAGGUAAAAUUCUUUGAUCUAUUGAUGACCUCCUGUGGCGAAGGCGGUCUACCAGAACACGUUCGACGGUGAGGGAUGAAAGCUGGGGGAGCAAACCGGAUUAGAUA
This 279-nucleotide ribosomal RNA is filed under the name uncultured bacterium. Its description in RNAcentral is "partial 16S ribosomal RNA". It matches the Rfam family "Archaeal small subunit ribosomal RNA", at positions 456 to 735 of the family's 1478-position model. The record is from RNAcentral.